CGUGGCGUGCCCUUGUAAUCCAGCUGCUCGGAGGCCGGUGCUAGAGGACGGGUUGUGACUGGCAAUUCUGCCCCGUGUUUGGCCCAUGUCGAUCGGGUGUCCGCGCUAAGCUGGGCGUCGAUAUGGCGACCCCAGGGGAGCCUGGUGGUGGCCAGGUCGCCUAAGGAGGAGCGAACCGGCCCAGGGCGGAAACGCAGCAGGUAAA
This 205-nucleotide long non-coding RNA is filed under the name Dermacentor andersoni. RNAcentral describes it as "uncharacterized LOC126516443". It matches the Rfam family "Metazoan signal recognition particle RNA", at positions 10 to 213 of the family's 299-position model. Rfam says of the family: The signal recognition particle (SRP) is a universally conserved ribonucleoprotein. It is involved in the co-translational targeting of proteins to membranes. The eukaryotic SRP consists of a 300-nucleotide 7S RNA and six proteins: SRPs 72, 68, 54, 19, 14, and 9. The record is from RNAcentral. Lineage: Eukaryota; Metazoa; Arthropoda; Arachnida; Ixodida; Ixodidae.